GGAGAUGUAGCUUAGUAGUAGAACACUUGUCUAGCAUGUGUAAGGCCCUGGGUUCAAUUUCUAGUAUUUCCA
RNAcentral lists this transfer RNA (72 nucleotides) under Ictidomys tridecemlineatus (thirteen-lined ground squirrel). RNAcentral's name for it is "Spermophilus tridecemlineatus (thirteen-lined ground squirrel) tRNA". It matches the Rfam family "tRNA". From Rfam's summary of the family: Transfer RNA (tRNA) molecules are approximately 80 nucleotides in length. The record is from Rfam by way of RNAcentral. Lineage: Eukaryota; Metazoa; Chordata; Mammalia; Rodentia; Sciuridae.